RNAcentral lists this ribosomal RNA (253 nucleotides) under uncultured bacterium. RNAcentral describes it as "partial 16S ribosomal RNA". It matches the Rfam family "Bacterial small subunit ribosomal RNA", at positions 524 to 776 of the family's 1533-position model. The record is from RNAcentral.
UACGGAGGGUGCAGGCGUUAUCCGGAUUUAUUGGGUGUAAAGGGUGCGUAGGCGGAUCUGUAAGUCAGGGGUGAAAUCUCACAGCUUAACUGUGAAACUGCCAUUGAUACUGCAGGUCUUGAGUGUUAUUGAAGUAGCUGGAAUAAGUAGUGUAGCGGUGAAAUGCAUAGAUAUUACUUAGAACACCAAUUGCGAAGGCAGGUUACUAAGCAACAACUGACGCUGAUGGACGAAAGCGUGGGGAGCGAACAGG